Sinocyclocheilus grahami is the source of this 255-nucleotide long non-coding RNA. RefSeq lists it as uncharacterized. The transcript has 3 exons. The record is from RefSeq and is a predicted model, not a curated record. NCBI's taxonomy places the organism in Eukaryota, Metazoa, Chordata, Actinopteri, Cypriniformes, Cyprinidae.
GGACCGACAGGUGAUCACGGCUCUGCUGAGGAAGCUGAAGCAGCAGUCACGAGAGAGUGUGGAGGACAAGAGACCCCGUCUGCUCAAAGCACUGAAAGAGGUAAAGCAGCAGGCCACACACACACACACACACACACACACACACACACACACAGAGUCCCCGUGUAUUAAUUAGCAUUAGAGAGUCUGAGGCAUCUGGGAAUGACCUACAGGAAAGAAGAUAUACGCAAUGUCACCUCACUGCAGACACUUAGA